AAUAUUGUAACGGAUACAGAAAAGUUCAGAAGGACUGAGCUAGUUUGCGAAACCACAGCACACUUUGGCAAAGAGGGAAUGCACAACAAAACGGAUGGGGUGGCUGGACGAGAGCAGCUCUUGGCUCAGCAAAGAAUGCACAGUAUGAUCAGCUCAGUGGAUGUGAAGUCAGAAGUUCCUGUGGGCCUGGAGCCCAUCUCACCUUUAGACCUAAGGACAGACCUCAGGAUGAUGAUGCCCGUGGUGGACCCUGUUGUCCGUGAGAAGCAAUUGCAGCAGGAAUUACUUCUUAUCCAGCAGCAGCAACAAAUCCAGAAGCAGCUUCUGAUAGCAGAGUUUCAGAAACAGCAUGAGAACUUGACACGGCAGCACCAGGCUCAGCUUCAGGAGCAUAUCAAGUUGCAACAGGAACUUCUAGCCAUAAAACAGCAACAAGAACUCCUAGAAAAGGAGCAGAAACUGGAGCAGCAGAGGCAAGAACAGGAAGUAGAGAGGCAUCGCAGAGAACAGCAGCUUCCUCCUCUCAGAGGCAAAGAUAGAGGACGAGAAAGGGCAGUGGCAAGUACAGAAGUAAAGCAGAAGCUUCAAGAGUUCCUACUGAGUAAAUCAGCAACGAAAGACACUCCAACUAAUGGAAAAAAUCAUUCCGUGAGCCGCCAUCCCAAGCUCUGGUACACGGCUGCCCACCACACAUCAUUGGAUCAAAGCUCUCCACCCCUUAGUGGAACAUCUCCAUCCUACAAGUACACAUUACCAGGAGCACAAGAUGCAAAGGAUGAUUUCCCCCUUCGAAAAACUGAAUCCUCAGUCAGUAGCAGUUCUCCAGGCUCUGGUCCCAGUUCACCAAACAAUGGGCCAACUGGAAGUGUUACUGAAAAUGAGACUUCGGUUUUGCCCUCUACCCCUCAUGCUGAGCAAAUGGUUUCACAGCAACGCAUUCUAAUUCAUGAAGAUUCCAUGAACCUGCUAAGUCUUUAUACCUCUCCUUCUUUGCCCAACAUUACCUUGGGGCUUCCCGCAGUGCCAUCCCAGCUCAAUGCUUCGAAUUCACUCAAAGAAAAGCAGAAGUGUGAGACGCAGACGCUUAGGCAAGGUGUUCCUCUGCCUGGGCAGUAUGGAGGCAGCAUCCCGGCAUCUUCCAGCCACCCUCACGUUACUUUAGAGGGAAAGCCACCCAACAGCAGCCACCAGGCUCUCCUGCAGCAUUUAUUAUUGAAAGAACAAAUGCGACAGCAAAAGCUUCUUGUAGCUGGUGGAGUUCCCUUACAUCCUCAGUCUCCCUUGGCAACAAAAGAGAGAAUUUCACCUGGCAUUAGAGGUACCCACAAAUUGCCCCGUCACAGACCCCUGAACCGAACCCAGUCUGCACCUUUGCCGCAGAGCACGUUGGCUCAGCUGGUCAUUCAACAGCAACACCAGCAAUUCUUGGAGAAGCAGAAGCAAUACCAGCAGCAGAUCCACAUGAACAAACUGCUUUCGAAAUCUAUUGAACAACUGAAGCAACCAGGCAGUCACCUUGAGGAAGCGGAGGAAGAGCUUCAGGGGGACCAGGCGAUGCAGGAAGACAGAGCGCCCUCUAGUGGCAACAGCACUAGGAGCGACAGCAGUGCUUGUGUGGAUGACACACUGGGACAAGUUGGGGCUGUGAAGGUCAAGGAGGAACCAGUGGACAGUGAUGAAGAUGCUCAGAUCCAGGAAAUGGAAUCUGGGGAGCAGGCUGCUUUUAUGCAACAGCCCUUCCUGGAACCCCCGCACACACGUGCGCUCUCUGUGCGCCAAGCUCCUCUGGCUGCGGUUGGCAUGGAUGGAUUAGAGAAACACCGUCUUGUCUCCAGGACUCACUCUUCCCCUGCUGCCUCUGUUUUACCUCACCCAGCAGUGGACCGCCCCCUCCAGCCUGGCUCUGCAACUGGAAUUGCCUAUGACCCCUUGAUGCUGAAACACCAGUGCGUUUGUGGCAAUUCCACCACCCACCCUGAGCAUGCUGGACGAAUACAGAGUAUCUGGUCACGACUGCAAGAAACUGGGCUGCUAAAUAAAUGUGAGCGAAUUCAAGGUCGAAAAGCCAGCCUGGAGGAAAUACAGCUUGUUCAUUCUGAACAUCACUCACUGUUGUAUGGCACCAACCCCCUGGACGGACAGAAGCUGGACCCCAGGAUACUCCUAGGUGAUGACUCUCGAAAGUUUUUUUCCUCAUUACCUUGUGGUGGACUUGGGGUGGACAGUGACACCAUUUGGAAUGAGCUACACUCGUCCGGUGCUGCACGCAUGGCUGUUGGCUGUGUCAUCGAGCUGGCUUCCAAAGUGGCCUCAGGAGAGCUGAAGAAUGGGUUUGCUGUUGUGAGGCCCCCUGGCCAUCACGCUGAAGAAUCCACAGCCAUGUAAGUACCAGGGACUGUUGCCCAUCUCCAAGCACCACGGUUCCUGGCGGUCACCUGCCCCGUGCAUGUUUCUGAAGCCUCUAAUUGUUAGCAGAUGGACUGAAAAAUCUUGCGAGGUACUCCCAGAAGCAGAUUUAUGGCUUCAGAGAUCAUAUAGCAUUUAAAAAAAUGCUCUG
Molecule: small RNA, 2557 nt
Filed under: Pan troglodytes (chimpanzee)
Lineage: Eukaryota; Metazoa; Chordata; Mammalia; Primates; Hominidae
Description: retained intron
Source: RNAcentral